GGAAAAAAAAAAGAAAAACGUCCAAGAAAAUGGGGUCAAUCUUUUUAAUUACCUCCGCAGAAUAUUUGUUAUUUUUCUUUGACGAUUUUUUUUAGGUUGCAUUUUU
RNAcentral lists this non-coding RNA (106 nucleotides) under Climacostomum virens. The record is from RNAcentral. Lineage: Eukaryota; Ciliophora; Heterotrichea; Heterotrichida; Climacostomidae.